AACGAACGCUGGCGGCAUGCCUAACACAUGCAAGUCGAACGAGACCUUCGGGUCUAGUGGCGCACGGGUGCGUAACGCGUGGGAACCUGCCCUUAGGUUCGGAAUAACUCCCCGAAAGGGGUGCUAAUACCGGAUAAUGUCUUCGGACCAAAGAUUUAUUGCCUUUGGAUGGGCCCGCGUUGGAUUAGCUAGUUGGUAGGGUAAAAGCCUACCAAGGCGACGAUCCAUAGCUGGUCUGAGAGGAUGAUCAGCCACACUGGGACUGAGACACGGCCCAGACUCCUACGGGAGGCAGCAGUGGGGAAUAUUGGACAAUGGGCGAAAGCCUGAUCCAGCAAUGCCGCGUGAGUGAUGAAGGCCUUAGGGUUGUAAUGCUCUUUUACCCGGGAUGAUAAUGACAGUACCGGGAGAAUAAGCUCCGGCUAACUCCGUG
Molecule: ribosomal RNA, 433 nt
Filed under: uncultured bacterium
Lineage: Bacteria
Description: partial 16S ribosomal RNA
Rfam family: Bacterial small subunit ribosomal RNA
Source: RNAcentral